RNAcentral lists this transfer RNA (73 nucleotides) under Marmota marmota marmota (Alpine marmot). It matches the Rfam family "tRNA". Rfam says of the family: Transfer RNA (tRNA) molecules are approximately 80 nucleotides in length. Their secondary structure includes four short double-helical elements and three loops (D, anti-codon, and T loops). RNAcentral also lists the same sequence under 3 other names. The record is from Rfam by way of RNAcentral. Lineage: Eukaryota; Metazoa; Chordata; Mammalia; Rodentia; Sciuridae.
GGAGAUAUAACUCACUUGUUAGAGUGCUUGCUUUGCAUGCACAAGGCCCUGGGUUCAAUCCCCAGUACCACAA